CAUAUAAGGCCUUUGUCGAGCAUAGGAAUCUCGAGGUGCGGGAGUACUUGCAACGAGUGAAGGCAAACGAUGAUUACAACCGUCAGAUGAUGACGGCUAUGUUGGCGUCUUGGAGUAACCGCACGGAUCCACCACAAAUGGGACCCCCACCACCACCUGCGGGAGAACCCCCACACGUGCCCACGUUCGAUGAAUGGGUGGCACUAGGCAGUGAUAGUCCGGGGACCGGUGGCUCGACUCCUGCUUCGUCGACCCCGGUCACUCCGAUCUGGCAGAGUGGUGCUGGUCUUGGCGGUGGCGGUUUUGGCGGAGGUGGUCUUGGCGGUGGUGGUUUUGGCGGAGGUGGUCUUGGCGGUGGUGGUUUUGGCGGAGGUGGUCUUGGCGGCGGCGGUCUUGCCUGAUGUCGGUG
Molecule: non-coding RNA, 409 nt
Organism: Aegilops tauschii subsp. strangulata
Lineage: Eukaryota; Viridiplantae; Streptophyta; Magnoliopsida; Poales; Poaceae
Source: RefSeq, a predicted model, not a curated record